RNAcentral lists this ribosomal RNA (474 nucleotides) under uncultured Planctomycetaceae bacterium. Its description in RNAcentral is "bacterial SSU rRNA". It matches the Rfam family "Bacterial small subunit ribosomal RNA", at positions 29 to 505 of the family's 1533-position model. Lineage: Bacteria; Pseudomonadati; Planctomycetota; Planctomycetia; Planctomycetales; Planctomycetaceae. The record is from RNAcentral.
AAUGAACGUUGGCGGCGUGGAUUAGGCAUGCAAGUCGCACGAGAAGCUUUUUUUGCUUGCAUUGAAAGUGGACAGUGGCGAAUGGGAGAGUAACGCGUGGAUAUCUGCCCUUAGACCCGGGAUAGCUGUGGGAAACCGCAGGUAAUACCGGAUAAUGUCUCCGGACCAAAGGUGUAAUUCCGUCUAAGGAUGAGUCCGCGUCCUAUUAGCUUGUUGGUGGGGUAACGGCCUACCAAGGCAAUGAUGGGUAGCGGGUGUGAGAGCAUGGCCCGUCUCACUGGGACUGAGACACUGCCCAGACACCUACGGGUGGCUGCAGUCGAGAAUCUUCCGCAAUGGGCGCAAGCCUGACGGAGCGACGCCGCGUGCGGGAUGAAGGCCCUCGGGUUGUAAACCGCUGUCAGUUGGGAGGAAAUGCUAUGGGGCACUCUCCAUAGUUUGACCGAUCUUCAGAGGAAGUCCGGGCUAAGUACG